RNAcentral lists this ribosomal RNA (253 nucleotides) under uncultured bacterium. Its description in RNAcentral is "partial 16S ribosomal RNA". It matches the Rfam family "Bacterial small subunit ribosomal RNA", at positions 524 to 776 of the family's 1533-position model. The record is from RNAcentral.
UACGUAGGGGGCAAGCGUUAUCCGGAUUUACUGGGUGUAAAGGGAGCGUAGACGGCAGCGCAAGUCUGGAGUGAAAUGCCGGGGCUCAACCCCGGAAUUGCUUUGGAAACUGUGCAGCUAGAGUGCGGGAGAGGUAAGCGGAAUUCCUAGUGUAGCGGUGAAAUGCGUAGAUAUUAGGAGGAACACCAGUGGCGAAGGCGGCUUACUGGACCGUAACUGACGUUGAGGCUCGAAAGCGUGGGGAGCGAACAGG